Molecule: ribosomal RNA, 379 nt
Filed under: uncultured bacterium
Lineage: Bacteria
Description: bacterial SSU rRNA
Rfam family: Bacterial small subunit ribosomal RNA
Source: RNAcentral
AUUGAACGCUGGCGGCAUGCCUUACACAUGCAAGUCGAACGGCAGCACGGGAGCAAUCCUGGUGGCGAGUGGCGAACGGGUGAGUAAUAUAUCGGAACGUGCCCAGUCGUGGGGGAUAACGUAGCGAAAGCUACGCUAAUACCGCAUACGAUCUAUGGAUGAAAGCGGGGGAUCGCAAGACCUCGCGCGAUUGGAGCGGCCGAUAUCAGAUUAGGUAGUUGGUGAGGUAAAGGGCUCACCAAGCCGACGAUCUGUAGCUGGUCUGAGAGGACGACCAGCCACACUGGGACUGAGACACGGCCCAGACUCCUACGGGAGGCAGCAGUGGGGGAAUUUUUGGGACAAUGGGCGCAAGCCUGAUCCAGUAAUGCCGCGUGCA